UUCAAACUUGGGUCCCACGUUUCUUCCUUUUUGAAUUCUCUCUACAAACCCAUCACCAUUUUCUUGAUUCUCUCACCACCGCGCCACUCCCUGCCAAUUCCGCCGGAAAAGUACCACAUUACAUAACCAUUAUCUAAUGGGAGGAAGUGAAGACGAGUCAAUUUCUGACCUCAAGCAAGAAAUUACCCAUAAAUUUACAGAUUUCAUGACAGGGAUCGCAAAAAUUGAUGAGUUGGGAACUGCUGGAAGCAGGCUGCUGUCUGGAUUUCAACAAGCACUUGAGUUCAUUCGGAGGCCUGCUAUAGAUACAAAUUCUAAUUUAGUCAACAAAAUAAUUGCAGCUAAUGAAACUAAGAGAGUUAAAUCCUAUGUCAAUUCUGGGUGUAGGAAUCCCAAUGAUGGUGUCCAGAAUGUAACCAAUUGUAAGCAAAACUAUUCUCUCUCUCUCUAUCAAAAUUUUUCUUUCUUUUUUGGUUAAGUUUAAGAGGAGGAUAGUGUGUGAUGUGCCAUUCCAAAGUUAUGUUAUGCCAAAGCCCACCUGAGGAAUUCAGGGUGAUACCUACCAAUGAAGAACUAUCAAUGGACAACUCCUUUUAACAUUCUAAGUUAUGUCUGAUAUAUUUUUUAAAGUAAACAAACAAGUCAGAAAGGUUGUUGCUUUGUGACUUGAGGUCAUACAGGUUUUCCGCUUGUGGAGGUAAGACUUUGUAUGUCUACCCUCUCCAGACCUCAUUACGUGGGAGCCUCGUGCAUCGGGCCAACCUUUUUUUAAACAAACAAGUUUUCUGCAAGACUUAACAAUUCACUGUUCUUCUUCUUUCAAAUAAAAAAGUGAUUUCUUUUUGUGUGUACUUUAAGUUAAUAUUGGAUUCCGUAAAGCUAUGAUUAUAUCAUAAUUUCUCACAAAAUUGUGCAGUCUUACCAAGUUACUCUAACUUCUUUUUCACAAAUUUUGUUCUCAACAAAAGAUCCUACAUGUUUUUCAUGGCCUGUUUUGUGAAGCAACACCCUCAUGGUCUCUUUAUUUGGGAAACUAGAAUUGUACAGACAAGUUUUAGAAGCGUAUAGCUUUUGUAUAAGUCGAAGUAAGGCGAAAUAUAUGCGGUAAGUUUAGCAAGAGGCAAAAAGAUUGGGGAUCAUACCAUAUCACAAGUCACUAGAUUAGGUAUCUUGGGUGAAUCAAAGAAGACGAUAGGAAAUUGAUGGACAUGUAAAUCAUAGGGUUGAAGUGGGUUGGAUGAAAUGGCGUAGUGCUUCAAGUUUCAUAUGUAAUAAAAAUGUACCACUAAAGCUUAAGGGUGAGUUUUAUCACAUGACUAUAAGACCUACAAUGUUAUAUGGGAUGAAUUGUUGGGCACUAAAAUGCCAACAAGAGAAUAAACUCCAUUUAUCAGAGAUGAGAGUGUUCGUUGGAUUAGUGGACACACUAGACAAGAUAUGAUUAUUUUCUUCACUUGUAUUAGUCAGUUCACCAAAUGUCUACCAUUAACACAUUUUUUGUUGAAGUCACUAGAACUAGACAUAUCUAGUGCCUUUUGUUUAUUGGAUAAAGGACUCCUGCUUGAAACAGCACUAUAAGAUCAUCCGUUAUUAAUUCUUAAUUAAAUUCUUUUUGCUAAAAUCUAUUGCAUUUAUUUGCCCUGACUAUUUAACUGUUUCAAUAUGGCAAAAUCUACAUAUGGAAGUGCACUCAUGCAAGAAUGGACUUCUUAUCCAUAUAAGCGAAGGUAUGGACUCAUUUUUUCAUAUGAUUGAUCACUUAUUGCAAUAUGCCUAUGUUAGGCCCAUUAUAAACUUGUCUAGAAAAUUGAAGCAUGGUGCUAGGGCUAGGCUUAUACAAAAACCAGAACCCACAUAGUCUGGAAUAUAUAACUCUGGACAGAAUGAUACAAUAUCUUUAUCAUCAGUUUGCUAGUUUUCUUGCCCUUAAAUCUAUUCAAUUUUAUCUUAAAGUACUGUGGUUUAUAUUCAACAUUUAUCUUAAAGUAAAUCUGGCAGCUUACUUUAUGAAGACCCUUUGUAACUUGGAGG
RNAcentral lists this long non-coding RNA (2031 nucleotides) under Lupinus mutabilis. RNAcentral describes it as "partial ncRNA". Lineage: Eukaryota; Viridiplantae; Streptophyta; Magnoliopsida; Fabales; Fabaceae. The record is from RNAcentral.